This is a long non-coding RNA of Carassius gibelio (silver crucian carp), 1737 nucleotides long. RefSeq lists it as uncharacterized. The record is from RefSeq and is a predicted model, not a curated record. Lineage: Eukaryota; Metazoa; Chordata; Actinopteri; Cypriniformes; Cyprinidae. The transcript has 3 exons.
AUAUUUCCCAUGUUACAAAAACUGCAUUCUUCCAUCUUAGACACACUGGCAAGCUACGAAACAUGUUAUCUGUUUCUGAUGCAGAAAAGCUAGUUCAUGCAUGAUGACCUCUAGACUGGACUAUUGUAAUGCACUUCUAGGUGGUUGUCCUGCAUCUUCAAUAAACAAGCUACAGGUAGUCCAACAGCAGCAGCUAGAGUCCUUACCAGGUCAAGAAAAUAUUGUACAGUCUCUGCACUGGCUACUUCAAGUUCUGUAUCAGUUACAAAUUAUUAUUACUUACCUAUAAGGCCCUAAAUGGUUUAGCUCCUGUGUACCUAACUAGUCUAAUACCACGUUACAAUCCAUCACGCACCCUAAGGUCACAAAAUGCUGGACUUUUGGUAGUACCUAGGAUAGCAAAGUCCACUAAAGGAGGUAGAGCUUUCUCACAUUUGGCUCCCAAACUCUGGAAAAGCCUUCCUGUUCGGGGUUCAGACACACUCUCUCUGUUUAAAUCUAGAUUAAAACAUCUCUUUGGCUAAGCAUUCGAAUAAUGCAUCUCUUAAAUUGUGAGUGUAGUUGCAUCUGAUCAAAGGUGCUUUCUUAUUCUUUAGCUUGGGUUAAACUAAUAACUUUUACUUUGUUGGAACAGCAGCUACGCUAAUGAUGUCUCUAUUUGUUUCUAUGUUUUGCUGAGAAGAGAUGAUGCCAACCCCUCAGAGGAUCUCAGAUGAUGUUAACCCUGAAUCAACAAAGAGAACUAACAAAUAUUGCUACAAGUGUGACUGCAUCAUAUACUAAUUGAUGUUAAUAGUGUUCAUCGUCUGGUUGACUACGUCUUGUACUAAUUUUUCGGAAAAAUCCUGUCAUAUGCACAUAAACUGACAUUCACCACUUAUAAGCUACUACUAAAUAUUGUAGAAACUUAAUAUUCUGUAAAGUUGCCUUUGUAAUGAUUUGUAUUGUAAAAAGCGCUAUACAAAUAAACUUGAAUUUAAUUUAAUUGAACUGAUGUUUCGGUGUUUCUUGUAGAUCAGACAAACAGAUUUACUGACACUUAUGUUUCAUUUUGUCUAUUACAGAUCAGGGCUUACCUUUAUUUUACAUAGUGCUGAUUCCUUCUGCUGCUGGAUCUCUGUUGAUUGUUUCAGUCGUGAUCUGCUGCAUUUGCAGGAAAUGUAGAAAAACAGCCCAGACCCAAGAGGAAGACAGAACUGAUUCAGCAUUGUGUAAACCAGCAAAAGGAAAAACGAAAUCAAAGACUGACGCCGUGUAUGAAAAUGUCCCCAAAAAGCGGUGAUCAAAAAGACUGUAUCUACUGGAUUUGUGCUGUUAGAGCUCAUACUGGACAAUACCUCACCUUUUCAUUCACAUUCAUUAUCUUCUAGGAUGUCAUUGUUUUGUCUGUAUCAUAUCAUUUGGCGUUACUGUAAUUUCUAAAAUUUUAUUUGAAUUAAAUUAGUGAUUUACCAAAUAGCAGCAUAUCAUCCAAAAACUCAAGUAAAUGUUCUUUCUUUAUUUUAUCACAUGGGAAUUUACCUCAUUACAGCUUCUGUCAUUUACCUGCCAUUUACUGUUCCUGUAUCACGGUUUGUUCUGUUGUUAGCAAAAGUAGCACAAGCUCAUCAUCGCCCUGCUGGUGGCCAAAGCUAAAUUUCACAUCUCUAAUAACAGAACUACUUUUACCGACAUGGUGCGCUAUAGAUCCAUACUGAAUGCACAAAAUAAAGACACAGGUCUGCUUGAUCAUCCUGG